Molecule: ribosomal RNA, 253 nt
Filed under: uncultured bacterium
Lineage: Bacteria
Description: partial 16S ribosomal RNA
Rfam family: Bacterial small subunit ribosomal RNA
Source: RNAcentral
UACGAAGGGGGCUAGCGUUGUUCGGAUUUACUGGGCGUAAAGCGCACGUAGGCGGAUCGUUAAGUCGGAUGUGAAAACCCGUGGCUCAACCACGGGCCUGCAUCCGAUACUGGCGGGCUCGAGGCAGGCAGGGGAGAUCGGAAUUCCUGGUGUAGCGGUGAAAUGCGCAGAUAUCAGGAGGAACACCGGUGGCGAAGGCGGAUCUCUGGGCCUGUCCUGACGCUCAGGCGCGAAAGCUAGGGGAGCAAACAGG